CCGGUGAUCGGUUUCGUGGUACUCUUGUGGUAAGGAGUUUCGCACUAGCGGCGGCACCAAGCAUCUCUAUCAUUUGAGUACCAUGAAGUCGGCACUGG
This 98-nucleotide microRNA precursor is filed under the name Anopheles gambiae (African malaria mosquito). Its description in RNAcentral is "microRNA aga-mir-10378 precursor". The record is from miRBase by way of RNAcentral. Lineage: Eukaryota; Metazoa; Arthropoda; Insecta; Diptera; Culicidae.